CAAUGUGUGCAUUGAACUUACAGAGUUAAACUGAUGUCUGUAUGGAGCAGUUUAGAAACCCUUUCUGUGGAGAAUCUUAAAACAGUCAUUUCCAGACCUAGAGACUCAUGU
This is a long non-coding RNA of Sapajus apella (tufted capuchin), 111 nucleotides long. RefSeq lists it as uncharacterized. NCBI's taxonomy places the organism in Eukaryota, Metazoa, Chordata, Mammalia, Primates, Cebidae. The record is from RefSeq and is a predicted model, not a curated record. The transcript is spliced from 3 exons.